UACGGAGGAUGCGAGCGUUAUCCGGAUUUAUUGGGUUUAAAGGGUGCGUAGGCGGGCUUUUAAGUCAGCGGUAAAAAUUCGGGGCUCAACCCCGUCCGGCCGUUGAAACUGGGGAUCUCGAGUGGGCGAGAAGAAGGCGGAAUGCGUGGUGUAGCGGUGAAAUGCAUAGAUAUCACGCAGAACCCCGAUUGCGAAGGCAGCCUUCCGGCGCCCUACUGACGCUGAGGCACGAAAGUGCGGGGAUCGAACAGG
Molecule: ribosomal RNA, 252 nt
Filed under: uncultured bacterium
Lineage: Bacteria
Description: partial 16S ribosomal RNA
Rfam family: Bacterial small subunit ribosomal RNA
Source: RNAcentral